This 497-nucleotide ribosomal RNA is filed under the name uncultured bacterium. RNAcentral's name for it is "partial 16S ribosomal RNA". It matches the Rfam family "Bacterial small subunit ribosomal RNA", at positions 28 to 507 of the family's 1533-position model. The record is from RNAcentral.
GAUGAACGCUGGCGGCGUGCCUAAUACAUGCAAGUCGAGCGAACGGACGAGAAGCUUGCUUCUCUGAUGUUAGCGGCGGACGGGUGAGUAACACGUGGAUAACCUACCUAUAAGACUGGGAUAACUUCGGGAAACCGGAGCUAAUACCGGAUAAUAUUUUGAACCGCAUGGUUCAAUAGUGAAAGACGGUCUUGCUGUCACUUAUAGAUGGAUCCGCGCUGCAUUAGCUAGUUGGUAAGGUAACGGCUUACCAAGGCAACGAUGCAUAGCCGACCUGAGAGGGUGAUCGGCCACACUGGAACUGAGACACGGUCCAGACUCCUACGGGAGGCAGCAGUAGGGAAUCUUCCGCAAUGGGCGAAAGCUUGACGGAGCAACGCCGCGUGAGUGAUGAAGGUCUUCGGAUCGUAAAACUCUGUUAUUAGGGAAGAACAUAUGUGUAAGUAACUGUGCACAUCUUGACGGUACCUAAUCAGAAAGCCACGGCUAACUACGUG